GAGUUUGAUCCUGGCCAGGAUGAACGCUGGCGGCGUGCCUAAUACAUGCAAGUCGAGCGGUAACACUUCGGGUGACGAGCGGCGGACGGCUGAGUAACGCGUAGGAACGUACCCCAAAGUGAGGGAUAAGCACCAGAAAUGGUGUCUAAUACCGCAUGUGGUCUUCGGAUUAAAGCUUCGGCGCUUUGGGAACGGCCUGCGUAAGAUUAGCUUGUUGGUGAGGUAAUGGCUCACCAAGGCUACGAUCUUUAGCUGGUCUGAGAGGAUGAUCAGCCAGACUGGGACUGAGCCCCGGCCCAGACUCCUACGGGAGGCAGCAGUAGGGAAUUUUCCACAAUGGGCGAAAGCCUGAUGGAGCAACGCCGCGUCCAGGAUGAAUCCCUUCGGGUUGUAAACUGCUUUUAGAUGUGAAGACUUCGCCGGUAGCAUAUGAAUAAGGAUCGGGGAAUUCCGUGCCAGCAGCGCGGUAAAAGGGCGAA
This 479-nucleotide ribosomal RNA is filed under the name uncultured bacterium. Its description in RNAcentral is "bacterial SSU rRNA". It matches the Rfam family "Bacterial small subunit ribosomal RNA", at positions 9 to 530 of the family's 1533-position model. The record is from RNAcentral.